RNAcentral lists this ribosomal RNA (312 nucleotides) under Triticum aestivum (bread wheat). RNAcentral's name for it is "partial small subunit ribosomal RNA". Lineage: Eukaryota; Viridiplantae; Streptophyta; Magnoliopsida; Poales; Poaceae. The record is from RNAcentral.
AUGGAACCCUAUGUUGGCAUGAGGUUUGACACCCUUCAAAUUGCUAAGGAUCACUACAACAACUAUGCCUUACGGAUGGGUUUCUCUGUCAAAAUGAACACCUCUGGGCAGACAGGCCAUGUAUUGGUAAAACAACAGUUUUGCUGCAACAAGUAUCUGAAGACAAAAGCUGAUGAUGGUGGAGCUGAGGCUCCUCCUAUCAUGGACCCUAUACCAGAUCCAAGACCUGUUGACACUGAUGAGGAAAUGGAAGAUGAACCUCCAAUCUUUGAUGAAGAGGAGGCUGGUGCUAGUAAGAAAAGGAAGAAAUGA